UGUAAGCGUAUACCAAAGUUGUUGCAGUUAAAACGCUCGUAGUCGGACUUUGGCGGUUCCGGAAGUGUGCCGCGUCGUGCGGCCGCUUUGCAGGGACUGCUUUUGUGGGUUUCGCGUCAGAUGAGGGCUGUUAAUUCGGUAACGUCUGUACGCAACCACUUUUUACUGUGAGAAAAUCAGAGUGCUCAAAGCAGGCAUUUGCCGUGAAUGUAUUAGCAUGGAAUAAUAGAAUAGGACUCUGUCUUAUUUUGUUGGUUUGUUAGGACCGAGUAAUGAUUAAGAGGGACAGUUGGGGGCAUUUGUAUUUCGGCGCUAGAGGUGAAAUUCUUAGAUUGCCGAAAGACAAACUGCUGCGAAAGCGUCUGCCAAGGAUGUUUUCAUUGAC
Molecule: ribosomal RNA, 385 nt
Filed under: uncultured eukaryote
Lineage: Eukaryota
Description: partial 18S ribosomal RNA
Rfam family: Eukaryotic small subunit ribosomal RNA
Source: RNAcentral